This 428-nucleotide ribosomal RNA is filed under the name uncultured bacterium. RNAcentral describes it as "bacterial SSU rRNA". It matches the Rfam family "Bacterial small subunit ribosomal RNA", at positions 355 to 774 of the family's 1533-position model. The record is from RNAcentral.
UGGGGAAUCUUCCGCAAUGGACGAAAGUCUGACGGAGCAACGCCGCGUGAGUGAAGAAGGUUUUCGGAUCGUAAAACUCUGUCUUUUGGGGCGAACGUGAGUAUGGUGAAUAAUCAUAGUCAGUGACGGUACCAAAGGAGGAAGCCACGGCUAACUACGUGCCAGCAGCCGCGGUAAUACGUAGGUGGCAAGCGUUGUCCGGAAUUAUUGGGCGUAAAGAGCGCGUAGGCGGGAUAGUCAGUCUGUUGUAAAAGUGCGGGGCUCAACCCCGUGAUCGCAAUGGAAACAGCUAUCCUUGAGUGCAGGAGAGGAAAGUGGAAUUCCCAGUGUAGCGGUGAAAUGCGUAGAUAUUGGGAGGAACACCAGUGGCGAAGGCGACUUUCUGGACUGUGUCUGACGCUGAGGCGCGAAAGCCAGGGGAGCGAACG